CAUGGUUAAGUGGGAAACGAUGUGGGAAGGCCCAGACAGCCAGGAUGUUGGCUUAGAAGCAGCCAUCAUUUAAAGAAAGCGUAAUAGCUCACUGGUCGAGUCGGCCUGCGCGGAAGAUGUAACGGGGCUAAACCAUGCACCGAAGCUGCGGCAGCGACGCUUAUGCGUUGUUGGGUAGGGGAGCGUUCUGUAAGCCUGCGAAGGUGUGCUGUGAGGCAUGCUGGAGGUAUCAGAAGUGCGAAUGCUGACAUAAGUAACGAUAAAGCGGGUGAAAAGCCCGCUCGCCGGAAGACCAAGGGUUCCUGUCCAACGUUAAUCGGGGCAGGGUGAGUCGACCCCUAAGGCGAGGCCGAAAGGCGUAGUCGAUGGGAAACAGGUUAAUAUUCCUGUACUUGGUGUUACUGCGAAGGGGGGACGGAGAAGGCUAUGUUGGCCGGGCGACGGUUGUCCCGGUUUAAGCGUGUAGGCUGGUUUUCCAGGCAAAUCCGGAAAAUCAAGGCUGAGGCGUGAUGACGAGGCACUACGGUGCUGAAGCAACAAAUGCCCUGCUUCCAGGAAAAGCCUCUAAGCAUCAGGUAACAUCAAAUCGUACCCCAAACCGACACAGGUGGUCAGGUAGAGAAUACCAAGGCGCUUGAGAGAACUCGGGUGAAGGAACUAGGCAAAAUGGUGCCGUAACUUCGGGAGAAGGCACGCUGAUAUGUAGGUGAAGUCCCUUGCGGAUGGAGCUGAAAUCAGUCGAAGAUACCAGCUGGCUGCAACUGUUUAUUAAAAACACAGCACUGUGCAAACACGAAAGUGGACGUAUACGGUGUGACGCCUGCCCGGUGCCGGAAGGUUAAUUGAUGGGGUUAGCGNGCGAAGCUCUUGAUCGAAGCCCCGGUAAACGGCGGCCGUAACUAUAACGGUCCUAAGGUAGCGAAAUUCCUUGUCGGGUAAGUUCCGACCUGCACGAAUGGCGUAAUGAUGGCCAGGCUGUCUCCACCCGAGACUCAGUGAAAUUGAACUCGCUGUGAAGAUGCAGUGUACCCGCGGCAAGACGGAAAGACCCCGUGAACCUUUACUAUAGCUUGACACUGAACAUUGAGCCUUGAUGUGUAGGAUAGGUGGGAGGCUUUGAAGUGUGGACGCCAGUCUGCAUGGAGCCGACCUUGAAAUACCACCCUUUAAUGUUUGAUGUUCUAACGUUGGCCCCUNAUCGGGGUUGCGGACAGUGUCUGGUGGGUAGUUUGACUGGGGCGGUCUCCUCCUAAAGAGUAACGGAGGAGCACGAAGGUUGGCUAAUCCUGGUCGGACAUCAGGAGGUUAGUGCAAUGGCAUAAGCCAGCUUGACUGCGAGCGUGACGGCGCGAGCAGGUGCGAAAGCAGGUCAUAGUGAUCCGGUGGUUCUGAAUGGAAGGGCCAUCGCUCAACGGAUAAAAGGUACUCCGGGGAUAACAGGCUGAUACCGCCCAAGAGUUCAUAUCGACGGCGGUGUUUGGCACCUCGAUGUCGGCUCAUCACAUCCUGGGGCUGAAGUAGGUCCCAAGGGUAUGGCUGUUCGCCAUUUAAAGUGGUACGCGAGCUGGGUUUAGAACGUCGUGAGACAGUUCGGUCCCUAUCUGCCGUGGGCGCUGGAGAACUGAGGGGGGCUGCUCCUAGUACGAGAGGACCGGAGUGGACGCAUCACUGGUGUUCGGGUUGUCAUGCCAAUGGCACUGCCCGGUAGCUAAAUGCGGAAGAGAUAAGUGCUGAAAGCAUCUAAGCACGAAACUUGCCCCGAGAUGAGUUCUCCCUGACUCCCUGAGAGUCCUGAAGGAACGUUGAAGACGACGACGUUGAUAGGCCGGGUGUGUAAGCGCAGCGAUGCGUUGAGCUAACCGGUACUAAUGAACCGUGAGGCUUAACCUU
This 1890-nucleotide ribosomal RNA is filed under the name Escherichia coli. RNAcentral's name for it is "bacterial LSU rRNA". It matches the Rfam family "Bacterial large subunit ribosomal RNA", at positions 1054 to 2925 of the family's 2925-position model. Lineage: Bacteria; Pseudomonadati; Pseudomonadota; Gammaproteobacteria; Enterobacterales; Enterobacteriaceae. The record is from RNAcentral.